Non-coding RNA from Phrynosoma platyrhinos (Desert horned lizard), 72 nucleotides. NCBI's taxonomy places the organism in Eukaryota, Metazoa, Chordata, Lepidosauria, Squamata, Phrynosomatidae. The record is from the annotation of a GenBank genome assembly.
GCCGGUGUGGUAUAGUGGUUUGAGCAUUGGACUGUGGCUCCGGAGACCAGGGUUCAAAUCUCAGCUCAGCCA